GUGAAUCAUCGAAUUUUUGAACGCAUAUUGCACUCUCUGGUAUUCCGGAGAGUAUGCCUAUUUGAGGGUCAUUUGUAAUAAUAUAAAUUCCAAGAUAUAACGGAUUUUAAAAUGGGUGGUCCAUUUUUUGUGGUCGUCUAAAAUAAAAGACAAGCUCAUUUUCUUGGGUUGGGUGAUACUUUCAGUUACCUAGUGACUUAACUAGGAUUUAUCGGGUGUGUAA
RNAcentral lists this unclassified non-coding RNA (223 nucleotides) under Ambispora leptoticha. Its description in RNAcentral is "partial contains 5.8S ribosomal RNA and internal transcribed spacer 2". The stretch from base 1 to 71 matches the Rfam family "5.8S ribosomal RNA", at positions 84 to 154 of the family's 154-position model. Lineage: Eukaryota; Fungi; Glomeromycota; Glomeromycetes; Archaeosporales; Ambisporaceae. The record is from RNAcentral.